GGAGUCGUUCUCCCUCUGUUUUAUAUGUGGACAUUUGGGACCACAGUUAGAAUUUGGUUGACCACUUGAUAUGUGAGAGCCUGAGGAGUUGUUCGCCCUCUGUCCAUGUUCGAGGACUUGCUCUCUGUCUGCCUCUACUCUCUGCCUUCACUGUACCAAAGUUUUUCUGUUGAGUCUCCUCUAGUCUGGUUGACCACUUGACAUGUGAGAGCCUGAGGAGUUGUUUUCCAGACAAAGGUAGAGCUGGCAGGGGCGUCACCCUGGGCCUGCCCUUUUGGGCUGGGCUUCAGCUGCAGAUCUAAAGGCUGCUUCCAGGGGCAUGGGGCCCUCAGCCUUUGUUUUUCUUUGCUUCUGCACCUUACAACAUACAUCACACCUUAUUUUCACACAUCCAAACACUGUUAACACCACUGACGCGUAACAUAUUUUACACAUCCCACUACGUAGUUAGAGCUAUCUUGAUUUGGAGUUAAAUAAAUUUACUUUUGGCUUGA
This is a long non-coding RNA of Pleuronectes platessa (European plaice), 494 nucleotides long. RefSeq lists it as uncharacterized. Lineage: Eukaryota; Metazoa; Chordata; Actinopteri; Pleuronectiformes; Pleuronectidae. The record is from RefSeq and is a predicted model, not a curated record. The transcript is spliced from 3 exons.